Oryza sativa Indica Group (long-grained rice) is the source of this 204-nucleotide microRNA precursor. It matches the Rfam family "MIR812 microRNA precursor family". NCBI's taxonomy places the organism in Eukaryota, Viridiplantae, Streptophyta, Magnoliopsida, Poales, Poaceae. The record is from Rfam.
AAAAAGACAAAUUCUAGGUUUCCAUAUCCAACUUUGACUGUCCGUUUUAUAUGAAAUUUUUUAUAAUUCAUACUUUUAUUGUUGUUAGAUGAUAAAACAUGAUUAAUAUUUUAUGCAUGAAUUAUCUUUUUAAUUUUUUUAUAAUUUUUUCAAAUAAGACGAACGGUCAAACGUUGGGCGCGAAAACCAAGAUUUGUCUUUUUU